This 482-nucleotide ribosomal RNA is filed under the name uncultured bacterium. RNAcentral describes it as "partial 16S ribosomal RNA". It matches the Rfam family "Bacterial small subunit ribosomal RNA", at positions 30 to 507 of the family's 1533-position model. The record is from RNAcentral.
AUUGAACGCUGGCGGCAUGCUUUACACAUGCAAGUCGAACGGUAACAGGCCGCAAGGUGCUGACGAGUGGCGCACGGGUGAGUAAUGCAUCGGAACGUGCCCAGUCGUGGGGGAUAACUACUCGAAAGAGUAGCUAAUACCGCAUACGAUCUAUGGAUGAAAGCGGGGGACCGUAAGGCCUCGCGCGAUUGGAGCGGCCGAUGUCAGAUUAGGUAGUUGGUGGGGUAAAGGCUCACCAAGCCAACGAUCUGUAGCUGGUCUGAGAGGACGACCAGCCACACUGGGACUGAGACACGGCCCAGACUCCUACGGGAGGCAGCAGUGGGGAAUUUUGGACAAAGGGCGCAAGUCUGAUCCAGCAAUGCCGCGUGCAGGAAGAAGGCCUUCGGGUUGUAAACUGCUUUUGUACGGAACGAAACGGCUCUGGUUAAUACCCGGGGCUAAUGACGGUACCGUAAGAAUAAGCACCGGCUAACUACGUG